UCUGACAUACAAUAAGCGGAGGAAAAGAAACCAAACAGGGAUUGCCCUAGUAACGGCGAGUGAAGCGGCAACAGCUCAAAUUUGAAAUCUGGCCCUCGGCCCGAGUUGUAAUUUGUAGAGGAUGCUUUUGGCGCGGCGCCUUCCGAGUUCCCUGGAACGGGACGCCAGAGAGGGUGAGAGCCCCGUACGGUUGGAUGCCAAGCCUCUGUAAAGCUCCUUCGACGAGUCGAGUAGUUUGGGAAUGCUGCUCAAAAUGGGAGGUAAAUGCCUUCUAAAGCUAAAUACUGGCCAGAGACCGAUAGCGCACAAGUAGAGUGAUCGAAAGAUGAAAAGCACUUUGAAAAGAGGGUUAAAUAGCACGUGAAAUUGUUGAAAGGGAAGCGCUCAUGACCAGACGUGUGCCUCGUGAAUCAUCCGGCGUUCUCGCCGGUGCACUUCGCCUGGCACAGGCCAGCAUCGGUUUUCCCAGGGGGACAAAAGCCGCGGGAACGUAGCUCUUCCGGGAGUAUUAUAGCCCGUGGCACAAUGCCCUUGGGGGGACCGAGGCCCGCGCUCCGCAAGGAUGCUGGCAUAAUGGUCAUCAGCGACCCGUCUUGAAACACGGACCAAGGAGUCAAGCAUUAGGGCGAGUGUUUGGGUGUCAAACCCGCACGCGAAAUGAAAGUGAACGCAGGUGAGAGCUUCGGCGCAUCAUCGACCGAUCCUGAUGUAUUCGGAUGGAUUUGAGUAAGAGCCUUACCGCUUGGACCCGAAAGAUGGUGAACUAUGCCUGGAUAGGGUGAAGCCAGAGGAAACUCUGGUGGAGGCUCGCAGCGGUUCUGACGUGCAAAUCGAUCGUCAAAUCUGGGCAUGGGGGCGAAAGUGAGUUUUAUAACCUAUAUCUAUUGUUAAUUAGUGGGAGUCAAAUGCUAACCAGAGCCUCUUAUAGGACUAAUCGAACCAU
Molecule: ribosomal RNA, 943 nt
Filed under: Annulusmagnus triseptatus
Lineage: Eukaryota; Fungi; Ascomycota; Sordariomycetes; Annulatascales; Annulatascaceae
Description: eukaryotic LSU rRNA
Rfam family: Eukaryotic large subunit ribosomal RNA
Source: RNAcentral